AACGUAGGUGGCGAGCGUUAUCCGGAUUUACUGGGCGUAAAGGGUGUGCAGGCUGCCCCUCAAGUGGUGUACGAAAGGGCUCGGCUCAACCGGGCUAGGUUAUGCCAGACUGAGGGGCUAGAGAGCGAGAGCGGGACGUGGAAUUCCGGGUGUAGUGGUGAAAUGCGUAGAUAUCAUGAGGAAUACCAGAGGCGAAGGCGGCUACCUGGACAAUUGCUGACGCUCAGGCACGAAAGCGUGGGGAGCAAAAGGG
Molecule: ribosomal RNA, 253 nt
Filed under: uncultured bacterium
Lineage: Bacteria
Description: partial 16S ribosomal RNA
Rfam family: Bacterial small subunit ribosomal RNA
Source: RNAcentral